This 409-nucleotide ribosomal RNA is filed under the name bacterium. Its description in RNAcentral is "partial 16S ribosomal RNA". It matches the Rfam family "Bacterial small subunit ribosomal RNA", at positions 355 to 776 of the family's 1533-position model. The record is from RNAcentral.
UGGGGAAUAUUGCACAAUGGGCGAAAGCCUGAUGCAGCGACGCCGCGUGAUGGAUGACGGCCUUCGGGUUGUAAACCUCUUUCAGCAGGGACGAAGCGCAAGUGACGGUACCUGCAGAAGAAGCACCGGCUAACUACGUGCCAGCAGCCGCGGUAAUACGUAGGGUGCAAGUGUUGUCCGGAAUUACUGGGCGUAAAGAGUUCGUAGGCGGUUUGUCGCGUCGUUUGUGAAAACCAGCAGCUCAACUGCUGGCUUGCAGGCGAUACGGGCAGACUUGAGUACUGCAGGGGAGACUGGAAUUCCUGGUGUAGCGGUGAAAUGCGCAGAUAUCAGGAGGAACACCGGUGGCGAAGGCGGGUCUCUGGGCAGUAACUGACGCUGAGGAACGAAAGCGUGGGUAGCGAACAGG